GGGGACCCGCAAGCGGUGGAUGAUGUGGAUUAAUUCGAUGCAACGCGAACAACCUUACCUACCCUUGACAUGUCUGGAAGGCUGCUGAAAGGUGGCUGUGCCCGAAAGGGAACCGGAACACAGGUGCUGCAUGGCUGUCGUCAGCUCGUGUCGUGAGAUGUUGGGUUAAGUCCCGCAACGAGCGCAACCCUUGUCCCUAGUUGCUACGCAAGGGCACUCUAGGGAGACUGCCGGUGACAAACCGGAGGAAGGUGGGGAUGACGUCAAGUCCUCAUGGCCCUUAUGGGUAGGGCUUCACACGUCAUACAAUGGACGGUACAGAGGGUUGCCAAGCCGCGAGGUGGAGCCAAUCCCAAAAAGCCGUUCGUAGUCCGGAUCGCAGUCUGCAACUCGACUGCGUGAAGUCGGAAUCGCUAGUAAUCGCGGAUCAGCAUGUCGCGGUGAAUACGUUCCCGGGUCUUGUACACACC
Molecule: ribosomal RNA, 470 nt
Filed under: uncultured bacterium
Lineage: Bacteria
Description: bacterial SSU rRNA
Rfam family: Bacterial small subunit ribosomal RNA
Source: RNAcentral